CUUGUGACCAUAUCAUGUUGAAACAUUGGUUCCUGUAUGAUCACCAAAGUUAAGCAACAUGAAGCCUGGUCAGUACCAACAUGGGUGACCUCUUGGAAAUACCAAGUGUUGUA
This is a non-coding RNA of Acanthosepion pharaonis, 113 nucleotides long. NCBI's taxonomy places the organism in Eukaryota, Metazoa, Mollusca, Cephalopoda, Sepiida, Sepiidae. The record is from the annotation of a GenBank genome assembly.